RNAcentral lists this ribosomal RNA (460 nucleotides) under uncultured bacterium. RNAcentral's name for it is "partial 16S ribosomal RNA". It matches the Rfam family "Bacterial small subunit ribosomal RNA", at positions 338 to 795 of the family's 1533-position model. The record is from RNAcentral.
CCUACGGGUGGCAGCAGUGAGGAAUAUUGGUCAAUGGACGAGAGUCUGAACCAGCCAAGUAGCGUGAAGGAUGACUGCCCUAUGGGUUGUAAACUUCUUUUAUAUGGGAAUAAAGUUUUCCAUGUGUACUGUUUUGUAUGUACCAUAUGAAUAAGGAUCGGCUAACUCCGUGCCAGCAGCCGCGGUAAUACGGAGGAUCCGAGCGUUAUCCGGAUUUAUUGGGUUUAAAGGGAGCGUAGGUGGAUGCUUAAGUCAGUUGUGAAAGUUUGCGGCUCAACCGUAAAAUUGCAGUUGAUACUGGCAGUCGUGAGUACAGCAGAGGUGGGCGGAAUUCGUGGUGUAGCGGUGAAAUGCUUAGAUAUCACGAAGAACUCCGAUUGCGAAGGCAGCUUACUGGACUGCAACUGACACUGAGGCUCGAAAGUGUGGGUAUCAAACAGGAUUAGAUACCCGGGUAGUC